Molecule: ribosomal RNA, 468 nt
Filed under: uncultured bacterium
Lineage: Bacteria
Description: partial 16S ribosomal RNA
Rfam family: Bacterial small subunit ribosomal RNA
Source: RNAcentral
GACGAACGCUGGCGGCGUGCUUAACACAUGCAAGUCGAACGGAAAGGCCCUGCUUUUGUGGGGUGCUCGAGUGGCGAACGGGUGAGUAACACGUGAGUAACCUGCCCUUGACUUUGGGAUAACUUCAGGAAACUGGGGCUAAUACCGGAUAGGAGCUCCUGCUGCAUGGUGGGGGUUGGAAAGUUUCGGCGGUUGGGGAUGGACUCGCGGCUUAUCAGCUUGUUGGUGGGGUAGUGGCUUACCAAGGCUUUGACGGGUAGCCGGCCUGAGAGGGUGACCGGCCACGUUGGGCCUGAGAUACGGCCCAGACUCCUACGGGAGGCAGCAGUGGGGAAUAUUGCACAAUGGGCGGGAGCCUGAUGCAGCAACGCCGCGUGCGGGAUGACGGCCUUCGGGUUGUAAACCGCUUUCGCCUGUGACGAAGCGUGAGUGACGGUAAUGGGUAAAGAAGCACCGGCUAACUACGUG